UUUCGAAUCAUUCACAAUGGGCGAAAGCCUGAUGGUGCGACGCCGCGUGAGGGACGAAGGCCUUCGGGUCGUAAACCUCUGUCACCGGGGAAGAAACGCUGCAUAUUAAUCGUAUGCAGCCUGACUUAACCCGGAGAGGAAGCAGUGGCUAACUCUGUGCCAGCAGCCGCGGUAAUACAGAGACUGCAAGCGUUAUUCGGAUUCACUGGGCGUAAAGGGUGCGCAGGCGGUCGUGUGUGUCAGGUGUGAAAUCCCGGAGCUUAACUCCGGAACUGCGCCUGAAACUACACGACUAGAGCAUUGGAGAGGGAAGUGGAAUUCAUGGUGUAGCAGUGAAAUGCGUAGAUAUCAUGAGGAACACCAGAGGCGAAGGCGACUUCCUGGACAAUUGCUGACGCUCAGGCACGAAAGCAUGGGGAGCAAAAG
This 426-nucleotide ribosomal RNA is filed under the name uncultured Opitutus sp. Its description in RNAcentral is "bacterial SSU rRNA". It matches the Rfam family "Bacterial small subunit ribosomal RNA", at positions 355 to 774 of the family's 1533-position model. Lineage: Bacteria; Pseudomonadati; Verrucomicrobiota; Opitutia; Opitutales; Opitutaceae. The record is from RNAcentral.